AGUGAACGCUGGCGGUAGGCCUAACACAUGCAAGUCGAACGGCAGCACAGUAAGAGCUUGCUCUUACGGGUGGCGAGUAGCGGACGGGUGAGGAAUACAUCGGAAUCUACUUUUUCGUGGGGGAUAACGUAGGGAAACUUACGCUAAUACCGUAUACGACCUACGGGUGAAAGCAGGGGAUCUUCGGACCUUGCGCGAUUGAAUGAGCCGAUGUCGGAUUAGCUAGUUGGCGGGGUAAAGGCCCACCAAGGCGACGAUCCGUAGCUGGUCUGAGAGGAUGAUCAGCCACACUGGAACUGAGACACGGUCCAGACUCCUACGGGAGGCAGCAGUGGGGAAUAUUGGACAAUGGGCGCAAGCCUGAUCCAGCCAUACCGCGUGGGUGAAGAAGGCCUUCGGGUUGUAAAGCCCUUUUGUUGGGAAAGAAAAGCAGCAGGUUAAUACCCCGCUGUUCUGACGGUACCCAAAGAAUAAGCACCGGCUAACUUCGUG
Molecule: ribosomal RNA, 492 nt
Filed under: uncultured bacterium
Lineage: Bacteria
Description: partial 16S ribosomal RNA
Rfam family: Bacterial small subunit ribosomal RNA
Source: RNAcentral